Molecule: long non-coding RNA, 2233 nt
Filed under: Zea mays
Lineage: Eukaryota; Viridiplantae; Streptophyta; Magnoliopsida; Poales; Poaceae
Description: long non-coding RNA (ZMAY_LNC000714)
Source: RNAcentral
AGCUCACCACCGCCCGCCACUUCCCCCGUGGGGAAUGCGCGUCUGCCUGGAUCCAUCGACGCUUGCUUGCUUGCUUCCGUUCCGUGGGAGGGACGGGGACGGACAGCAGCCGAGGCAGAGAAGAAACCCAAGGCUCUCGAAUUGUACAUAGGCAAAAUGAGUAAAGCGGCCACCCCCCCAAAAAAAGGCUAGGAGAUUAGAUCCCUCUUGUGCAUAGGUAGAUUCCGUCUUCCAAGUUUGUGGAGUUGUGAAUCUUUGCGCGGAUUAAAUUUUUGUCGAUGAGCUAGGCGUGUCGAUGCAUGAUUUGGGCCCGCUUUUUGUCCUGCCAGUGCCACUGCCAGCCAUGCUUUCUGGCUGCUCGCUCAGGUCAGUCAGGUCACCCAGGGCAGCUGCUCGGGUUCGGUACAUCCGUGGACCGGUGGACGGCUCCGUUCCUCUGCACGGUUUCCGUCUCGCAAGGACACACCCAACCCAAGCACGCGAACUUUUUCCAACCUGUGCAGUGUGCCACAAAAUAUUUCUGCUGCUUCAACGGGAAAGCGCCAAGGCUCCAGAUGUUCCGUGGAUCCGGUGGUGCGGCCACCCAUUGCUGUAACAGCUGUCCACACACAGGAGAAUUUCGGGCCAACCUGGUGCUGUGUUGUCCAACACACAGGAUUUGAAUUGAAUUGGCAACCAAUCUCUCUCGCAACUCUAGAGUCUAGAGCAUCAACCAACAGUGGCAAAUGCUAAUCAGACAGCCGGGGGUGCGACCAAAUGCGCCGAGUCCCUCCGUUCCUUUCCACGGUCCAAUCAUCCGUGUCAACCAUCACUGACGGUCUUCAGACUCCAGGAAGUUUCAGAUCCAGAGAUGAGACACCCGACGCCGAACCAUGAUAUGUUGUUUGUGCGCGCUUGUGUUUUGGUAAAGGAAGCAAGAAGAACCAUGAUCUGAAACAUAAUCUGCAGCAGAAAAAGUAGGUCAGAUUGUUCAGUCUCGCUCUGAAAGCCAGAGAGCGCUCUUGACAGGUGUAGUAGUCUUCUACCUGCAACGCAUCUCCAGUUCCGCCACUCGGCCACCCCUGGUUCUCGCGCACCGAAAGAGAGGAGUAUCAGCAAAAGGGUGUGUACGUUAAGCAACGGCGCCUUUUCUUGGUUAGGAGCGCUUUACAUCUUGAGAGCUUUCCCUGUAUACAUGGAAUCCUACUUUUAACUCACAGCUAGUUUUGCUUGCAAGUAAACCAAGGAAACAAAAGUCGUCACGCUAAACUUGUCGGAGGACAAGAAAGUGAGAAAUGUGGGGGUCAUUCAGCCAGCGUCCAAAGAAAAAGGAAAAAAAAAGAGAGGAUGUGGGGUCAUUUAUCCAUGCACUGAAUGGAACCAAAACCGAACUCGACGUUUGUAAUCGAUGGGGAAUAAUGGCACAUCAAGCCCCGCCGGGAGGGCCGGGACCACGGGCUCACUCAUUAUCGUACACGCACACGCUGGGGGCCGGGCCUGGGGCUGGGCCUGGGCCCCGGCCAGCCAGCCAGCCAGCUCUCGUCGCGGCCGCCGCGUAAACGGCUGGCCGUCGCGGCCGCCGCCGCAUCAUCACGACUCAGGCACCGCUGGACACGUCUGCCUGUCUGUCUGUGGCUGCCUUCGAUUGCAAACGCCUAGCAGAGUAGCAGUACGCAGCGCAGCUAAACAAUGGCUCCGGUCCGACUCCGACCUACGGUGGUGGAAAGUUUCUUACGCUAGCUCGAUCGUACCCCCAUUAUUGCCUGUCGGUUUCGCGCCUAAAGCGAAAACGAUAACGACGUCGGCGAAAGCUAGUAUUAUCCUGGAAUGUGGCAACUGGCUAGUUUGAGAGAAAGGCAAGCAUAAUUCUGACCCUUUUUUUUUUUGCGCUAAUGAUACGAACAAGGAUCGUAUUCUGGAAAACGGUAGUGGGGGAAAAAGGAGAGAGGCUAGCACUCAUCAGUAAAGCAAUACCCGUACCUGUAGUAGCUUCACUUCACUGGACGAUCCGUCGUUUUCGCCGUCUGUUCGCCCGUUCAUUGACGGCCCCGCGAUGCCAAAAGGCCAAGCCAACGCUCCAGGCUACAGCGGAUAAGAAUGAGCCGAGCCGAUGCCGCAGAUCGAUCCACCUCGCCCAGCCUCACACACCACCGUCCGCAUCGGUCUCACUAUGGGACACUCCGGCAUUAAAAAAAAGUGGAAUCAGACGUAAAAUUUACUGUACAACAGUUUUACUAUUGGAUCCGAAAUUCAG